CCAGGAUGGAGAGCAGCACAGGAGGGAGACUGUUCUGGAUUUAUGGAUUCAGAGGAGGAAGAGGAGUAGAUCUCUUACCUGAUGGGGGUCUUUAUGUACAUACAGCAUUAAACCUCAAGGUCCAUUUCUGAUACAUGUCUGGAGUACCAAGGCUGUGUGGUGACAUCUCCGUUCACUGGAUCUCACGUUUUCAGAGGCAGACAGUCUGGUCAGAUGGACAGGUGACCUUUUGGAACCUUUUAACAAAACACAGGCACUUCUCCCCUUGAAGUUAAUGAAUCAUUUUGACUUAGCUGUGGUACACUUAACUGUAAAUUCAGCUUAUAUGAUCUUUCUAAAUAUUUGAUAUAAAUAUUUCAUUAUUGUGGUCCAAAUUUCUAAUGCACAUAUUACACUAAUCAAAUCCUUUUAGAGUAUCAAUUCCUCCCAUUUAAAAAAAAAAAUAAAAAAUGAGGUGUACUUCUGUCAAGUACAUCAAUAUCAACACAAAACCAUAUAUAAUGAAUAAAAAACCUAUAGCAGUUAAAAAUCAAUCAAAUAAUAAACAUUAUUAAUAACAUAUGUAAUACAGAACUAUCAUUAACCACAAAAACACUGCAUCAGCAUCUUAUAGUCUGCAAACAAACAAAAACAAAAACAAAAUCAAUGAAGGAUUGGAUAACCACCUCUGGAAAUGAUUCUCCAAGACCACUUCUGAUGUGGUUAGAUAGGGAAAGCUGAUCGGAAGAUCUCGCGAUGUACGUGAAGAUAGGGCCCCUCUUUCUCCAAAGAAACUCCUGUACUCCAAAGAAACACUCCUGUACCGCCGGGAUGCAGUCGCUCGGCAAGGUAGUUUCGCAGCUGCAUGAGCAGUGGGGUAUAGACUGCAAAUCAAGGGACUUUGAAUGCGCGGUUACCAGAUUACUAGAAUUAUGUGUUGUUGAUGAUCCCGUAGAUAUAUUACACCCAGAUUGCUGGGUUAGGUGUACUAAGGCGCUCACGGAUGACGUGUUGUGCUUUAAGUCCAGCAAGUGCCUUAAAAGCUGGGCGAGAGUUAAGGAAGCGCUGCGAAAAGCUCUUCAAGAGCAGGAAACUUGGAAGGCAGCUCAAAGCUGUUUAAAGGUUACACCACGGGUGGGGGCUGGAGCUGCUACUCAGACCACGUUUAUUGAUUGCCCCACCAAUUCUAACUGGCCAUCCAAUGAUGACGGGCGGCUUGAGUCGCCGUCCCGCCUGCCCGGUUCUAACACAGGUUUGGCCACGGAACAUAAUUUGCUGCCAGGGGGUACUGAUGCCACUGAGCCGCGGGGCGCGCCCGACACCGCGGGCCCUGGAGAUGUCGGGGAAAGGCCUCUGCCAUACCCACCAUGAAAUGGUGCCGGGGAGAGGAAGAAGGAGCAGAGCGAAGGGUGCCUAACGCACGCGGACAUAUGCGAUCGGGAGUCUAAGGGGAGGCGGGAGGACAGCGCCAAUGGUGAAGGGGAGGAGAGCUCAGAGUCCAAUCAGGGAGCGUGCCCUAGACUAUCUCAUUGUAAGGAAAAGAACCCGCUGGAAGGAAGGUGGAGAAAGGGAGGGGAGAAACCCGUCCCUGGAAAAGGGAGAGGGCGGAGUCCCACCAAAAGGCAUUGUAGCCCGGAAGCCCACUGCCACUCGAUAAGACCAAGUCCUGGGUAGUUCCAUCAACCUCAGGAAUCUGGGCCUGUAGCUCCACAGGUAUUACUCCGUGUAUUUCCAUCAAACACUUUGAUGAAGUUAACGAUUUCUGUGUCCAAGUGGUUGUUAUCCCUAGGAUCCUGUAUUUCCAUGGAGAUGAAUUGCCUUACCACCAAGAGAGAGGUUUCCCACGCCAAAAGCGAGAACUCAUUACUGCCAUCAGCCUCGCGGUACUUUUGGGCCCAACAGCAACACAUGUGGACUAGAUAUCCUACCUAUGCAUCAAGGAGGUCAUGGCUGUUCAGAGCCAACACAACCAUAACCAGCCAACCUCUAUCCCGCCGAAAUAGCUCAGUUGGGAGAGCAUUAGACUGAAAAUCUAAAGGUCCCUGGUUAGAUCCCGAGUUUCGACAGAGCUUCAGCAAAGACUUGAACAGCGUAGCCGACAACGUUCUCAACAGAACUGGUUUGACUCAAUGUUCAGCCAAUCCCCAUGGAUUGUUACCCUCAUAUCCACGUUAGCAGGACCAGUUAUCAUUGUUGUGUUUGCACUUAUCUUUGGUCCAUGUCUUCUUAAUAAGUUAGCCCAGUUUGUAGAAACCCAUUUGGAUAAGAUUGACAUUUUAUAUUUAGAACAGAGACAGUUAACCUGAGUUUUCAUUAUAGUUCAUACUAACACACCGCGGUUACGUUUAAUGUUCAUUACUAACAAGUUCACGGUUUGUUGUUAAUUACAUAAGUCAUUCAGUUAUAAAGUUCUGUUCAUGGAGAGGGGGGGAGAUGAUGUGGUUAGACAGGGAAAGCCGAUCGGAAGAUCUCGCGAUGUACGUGAAGAUAGGGCCCCUCUUUCUCCAAAGUUCUAUAACCCAUAAUAUCACGGUGAUGACGUAAUCAUAAAUCGGUCAUAUAAAACCAUGCACACUGGAAAUAAACGCUCUUCACCGUCCACCACAUUGGUGUUUGCGUGUGAUUAGCCCGACAGGCCUGUAAGUUUAGCCAUCGUGUCACUCACGAACCGGGUCGCUAUGCCUCAUCUGAGAGGCAUCUACCACUUCAAAACUGAUCCAGCUGUUAUAUUAAUAGGGUCAAAUUGCCAAGUCAAAAAGUAACUCAAAUAUUGAUUUGGCACAGAGAACAUCUGGAUCUGUUGGCAAACAUUCUGUCCAGGUAAAGUCAAGGGUUGGCCAGGUCCUAGGCUUUAAACUGGAAAGAUGUCUCUUAACUAAUUUUCAAAACAAGGUUCUCAAUAGUAGCAGCUAUGAGAUGCUUAAAGCACAGCAAACUGUUAAAAUGCAUUUGUACAAAGCAAAUGAUCAGAAGCCUUAGGUACCAGACCAAUUAAACCAUUCAGUGGUUGGUUUAAUCUGAAGCCUCUCCUGUCAUGAUCCGCAAGGUGGGAUUCGUGAUGUGGUUGUUUUAGUCAGUCUUAGAGUACAGAAGAUUAUCAGCAAACCAAGGACUUAAACAGCAAAACACACUUUAUUGAGUGCUCAUCAGCACUAAUAUGUGAUAGAGGGAAAAGAGGAGAAAACAAAGCAGAAGGAAAAGAGAGUAAGGGGAUUAUAGCUACCAACGUUGAAGUCCACUCAGCUGUCCAACGACGCAGAGUCUUCUGUCUGUUGGGGAGAUCUCAAAGGAAGGUAAGUUUGGGGUAUAAUUUUAUAGUCUUUUACAAAGUGAGGGGCACAGGGCCAAAAACAGAGGAGAUUGAUGAUCAUUGUGAUGAAUUCCAUUGUGCAGGGGGCAGGAGUAGGGUAGAGAGCAAACCAUGUCUUGCAAGUCUUUGCUCACCAGCAGGAAUGAGGGCAAUGUGUCAUGGAAAUCCCAUUGCACAGGGUACCACGCACAAACCUCUGCUCACCAGCAGGAACGAGGGCAGUGUACCGUGCAACCACCUGCAAACAAUCACUGAGCAAACAUCCACCUCAGCUAGGCCAAACCCCCUAAACCAAAUCCCUUGUGAUAUUCAGGGUCUCAGCCUCUGUCCUUGAGACAGUUGUGAGAUAGAUGAGAGAAUCUUUGGACCAUCUUUUACACUCUCCCAUGGCUGCUGACCCCCAGCAAUGAUACAUUUUCUUGGAAUUCUGGAAACACUGAAAAAUAAUAAAGCUAUAAAAACCAAAAACUGCAUAGAUUGCAACAAACAAUGAACUCCUGAUGAAAUCAAGGGUGUCACAGACUGCAUUCACUUCUAUCCACAAGCAGGUGUUCAUCAGAGUUUAUCACAGCUGUUUCAGUUGUAGUCACCUUUAUCUUUCUAGGGAAAUAACUAUACUUUGCAGUUCAAACAAGUGUCUUCAACAAUACAUAAAACAAUUUAAAUCAAACAAUAUUUAAACCUGGUAACAAUUAACUAUGACAAAAAGAAAUAACAAAAUUUAA
Molecule: long non-coding RNA, 4014 nt
Organism: Poecile atricapillus (Black-capped chickadee)
Lineage: Eukaryota; Metazoa; Chordata; Aves; Passeriformes; Paridae
Exons: 3
Source: RefSeq, a predicted model, not a curated record